GUAAGGUGAUAUGAACCGUUAUAACCGGCGAUUUCCGAAUGGGGAAACCCAGUGUGUUUCGACACACUAUCAUUAACUGAAUCCAUAGGUUAAUGAGGCGAACCGGGGGAACUGAAACAUCUAAGUACCCCGAGGAAAAGAAAUCAACCGAGAUUCCCCCAGUAGCGGCGAGCGAACGGGGAGCAGCCCAGAGCCUGAAUCAGUGUGUGUGUUAGUGGAAGCGUCUGGAAAGGCGCGCGAUACAGGGUGACAGCCCCGUACACAAAAAUGCACAUGCUGUGAGCUCGAUGAGUAGGGCGGGACACGUGGUAUCCUGUCUGAAUAUGGGGGGACCAUCCUCCAAGGCUAAAUACUCCUGACUGACCGAUAGUGAACCAGUACCGUGAGGGAAAGGCGAAAAGAACCCCGGCGAGGGGAGUGAAAAAGAACCUGAAACCGUGUACGUACAAGCAGUGGGAGCACGCUUAGGCGUGUGACUGCGUACCUUUUGUAUAAUGGGUCAGCGACUUAUAUUCUGUAGCAAGGUUAACCGAAUAGGGGAGCCGAAGGGAAACCGAGUCUUAACUGGGCGUUAAGUUGCAGGGUAUAGACCCGAAACCCGGUGAUCUAGCCAUGGGCAGGUUGAAGGUUGGGUAACACUAACUGGAGGACCGAACCGACUAAUGUUGAAAAAUUAGCGGAUGACUUGUGGCUGGGGGUGAAAGGCCAAUCAAACCGGGAGAUAGCUGGUUCUCCCCGAAAGCUAUUUAGGUAGCGCCUCGUGAAUUCAUCUCCGGGGGUAGAGCACUGUUUCGGCAAGGGGGUCAUCCCGACUUACCAACCCGAUGCAAACUGCGAAUACCGGAGAAUGUUAUCACGGGAGACACACGGCGGGUGCUAACGUCCGUCGUGAAGAGGGAAACAACCCAGACCGCCAGCUAAGGUCCCAAAGUCAUGGUUAAGUGGGAAACGAUGUGGGAAGGCCCAGACAGCCAGGAUGUUGGCUUAGAAGCAGCCAUCAUUUAAAGAAAGCGUAAUAGCUCACUGGUCGAGUCGGCCUGCGCGGAAGAUGUAACGGGGCUAAACCAUGCACCGAAGCUGCGGCAGCGACGCUGAUGCGUUGUUGGGUAGGGGAGCGUUCUGUAAGCCUGCGAAGGUGUGCUGUGAGGCAUGCUGGAGGUAUCAGAAGUGCGAAUGCUGACAUAAGUAACGAUAAAGCGGGUGAAAAGCCCGCUCGCCGGAAGACCAAGGGUUCCUGUCCAACGUUAAUCGGGGCAGGGUGAGUCGACCCCUAAGGCGAGGCCGAAAGGCGUAGUCGAUGGGAAACAGGUUAAUAUUCCUGUACUUGGUGUUACUGCGAAGGGGGGACGGAGAAGGCUAUGUUGGCCGGGCGACGGUUGUCCCGGUUUAAGCGUGUAGGCUGGUUUUCCAGGCAAAUCCGGAAAAUCAAGGCUGAGGCGUGAUGACGAGGCACUACGGUGCUGAAGCAACAAAUGCCCUGCUUCCAGGAAAAGCCUCUAAGCAUCAGGUAACAUCAAAUCGUACCCCAAACCGACACAGGUGGUCAGGUAGAGAAUACCAAGGCGCUUGAGAGAACUCGGGUGAAGGAACUAGGCAAAAUGGUGCCGUAACUUCGGGAGAAGGCACGCUGAUAUGUAGGUGAGGUCCCUCGCGGAUGGAGCUGAAAUCAGUCGAAGAUACCAGCUGGCUGCAACUGUUUAUUAAAAACACAGCACUGUGCAAACACGAAAGUGGACGUAUACGGUGUGACGCCUGCCCGGUGCCGGAAGGUUAAUUGAUGGGGUUAGCGCAAGCGAAGCUCUUGAUCGAAGCCCCGGUAAACGGCGGCCGUAACUAUAACGGUCCUAAGGUAGCGAAAUUCCUUGUCGGGUAAGUUCCGACCUGCACGAAUGGCGUAAUGAUGGCCAGGCUGUCUCCACCCGAGACUCAGUGAAAUUGAACUCGCUGUGAAGAUGCAGUGUACCCGCGGCAAGACGGAAAGACCCCGUGAACCUUUACUAUAGCUUGACACUGAACAUUGAGCCUUGAUGUGUAGGAUAGGUGGGAGGCUUUGAAGUGUGGACGCCAGUCUGCAUGGAGCCGACCUUGAAAUACCACCCUUUAAUGUUUGAUGUUCUAACGUUGACCCGUAAUCCGGGUUGCGGACAGUGUCUGGUGGGUAGUUUGACUGGGGCGGUCUCCUCCUAAAGAGUAACGGAGGAGCACGAAGGUUGGCUAAUCCUGGUCGGACAUCAGGAGGUUAGUGCAAUGGCAUAAGCCAGCUUGACUGCGAGCGUGACGGCGCGAGCAGGUGCGAAAGCAGGUCAUAGUGAUCCGGUGGUUCUGAAUGGAAGGGCCAUCGCUCAACGGAUAAAAGGUACUCCGGGGAUAACAGGCUGAUACCGCCCAAGAGUUCAUAUCGACGGCGGUGUUUGGCACCUCGAUGUCGGCUCAUCACAUCCUGGGGCUGAAGUAGGUCCCAAGGGUAUGGCUGUUCGCCAUUUAAAGUGGUACGCGAGCUGGGUUUAGAACGUCGUGAGACAGUUCGGUCCCUAUCUGCCGUGGGCGCUGGAGAACUGAGGGGGGCUGCUCCUAGUACGAGAGGACCGGAGUGGACGCAUCACUGGUGUUCGGGUUGUCAUGCCAAUGGCACUGCCCGGUAGCUAAAUGCGGAAGAGAUAAGUGCUGAAAGCAUCUAAGCACGAAACUUGCCCCGAGAUGAGUUCUCCCUGACCCUUUAAGGGUCCUGAAGGAACGUUGAAGACGACGACGUUGAUAGGCCGGGUGUGUAAGCGCAGCGAUGCGUUGAGCUAACCGGUACUAAUGAACCGUGAGGCUUAACCU
RNAcentral lists this ribosomal RNA (2823 nucleotides) under Escherichia coli 7-233-03_S3_C3. Its description in RNAcentral is "bacterial LSU rRNA". It matches the Rfam family "Bacterial large subunit ribosomal RNA". Lineage: Bacteria; Pseudomonadati; Pseudomonadota; Gammaproteobacteria; Enterobacterales; Enterobacteriaceae. The record is from RNAcentral.